Molecule: ribosomal RNA, 459 nt
Filed under: uncultured bacterium
Lineage: Bacteria
Description: partial 16S ribosomal RNA
Rfam family: Bacterial small subunit ribosomal RNA
Source: RNAcentral
CUACGGGAUGCAGCAGUAAGGAAUAUUGCGCAAUGGAGGCAACUCUGACGCAGCCAUGCCGCGUGCAGGAAGAAGGCCUUAUGGGUCGUAAACUGCUUUUAUUUAGGAAUAAACCCCCGAACGUGUUCGGGGCUGAAGGUACUGAAUGAAUAAGCACCGGCUAACUCCGUGCCAGCAGCCGCGGUAAUACGGAGGGUGCAAGCGUUAUCCGGAUUUAUUGGGUUUAAAGGGUGCGCAGGCGGGCUAUUAAGUCAGUGGUGAAAUCCCGGGGCUCAACUCCGGAACUGCCAUUGAUACUGAUAGUCUUGAGUUUGGUUGAAGUGGGCGGAAUGUAGCAUGUAGCGGUGAAAUGCAUAGAUAUGCUACAGAACACCAAUCGCGAAGGCAGCUCACUAAGCCAAAACUGACGCUCAUGCACGAAAGCGUGGGGAUCAAACAGGAUUAGAUACCCUCGUAGUC